GUUUACCACGCGCACAUCGCGGCUGCUCCGCGCCGUCAGCGUUCACCUGACGUCCGCUCGCCACGUUUUUAGCC
This 74-nucleotide small RNA is filed under the name Xanthomonas vesicatoria. RNAcentral's name for it is "sX9". Lineage: Bacteria; Pseudomonadati; Pseudomonadota; Gammaproteobacteria; Lysobacterales; Lysobacteraceae. The record is from RNAcentral.